RNAcentral lists this ribosomal RNA (460 nucleotides) under uncultured bacterium. Its description in RNAcentral is "partial 16S ribosomal RNA". It matches the Rfam family "Bacterial small subunit ribosomal RNA", at positions 338 to 795 of the family's 1533-position model. The record is from RNAcentral.
CCUACGGGAGGCAGCAGUGAGGAAUAUUGGUCAAUGGGCGCGAGCCUGAACCAGCCACGUAGCGUGAAGGAUGACUGCCCUACGGGUUGUAAACUUCUUUUAUAAAGGAAUAAAGUGAGGCACGUGUGCCUUUUUGUAUGUACUUUAUGAAUAAGGAUCGGCUAAAUCCGUGCCAGCAGCCGCGGUAAUACGGAGGAGCCGAGCGUUAUCCGGAUGUAUUGGGUUUAAAGGGAGCGGAGAUGGGUUGUUAAGUCAGUUGUGAAAGUUUGCGGCUCAACCGUAAAAUUGCAAUUGAUACUGGCAGCCUUGAGUACAGUUGAGGUAGGCGGAAUUCGUGGUGUAGCGGUGAAAUGCUUAGAUAUCACGAAGAACUCCGAUUGCUAAGGCAGCUUACUAAACUGCCACUGACAUUGAUGCUCGAAAGUAUGGGUAUCAAACAGGAUUAGAUACCCUAGUAGUC